GACAGCAAGGCUGAGGAGAAUGGCUCCCACAGCUUCAUGCACUCCAUGGACCCACAGCUGGAGCGGCAAAUGGAAACCACCCAGAACCUGGUGGACUCCUACAUGGCCAUUGUCAACAAGACCGUGUGGGACCUCAUGGUUGGUGCGAAGCCCAAGACCACCAUGCAUAUCAUGAUCUACAAUGUGCAUGCACCGCCUCAUGGGGACCAAGGAGUUCAUCUUCUCGGAGCUGCUGUCCAACCUGCGCUCGCGUGGGAACGAGAAGACACUCAUGGAGGAGUCGGCAGAGUAGGCACAGCGGCGCGACGAGAUGCUGCUUCUCAGAGCUGCUGUCCAACCUGCACUCGCUUGGGAACCAGAAGACACUCGUGGAGGAGUCGGCAGAGCAGGCACAGCGGCGCGACGAGACUCGCGUGGGAAGAAAUAGACACUCCUGGAGGAGUCGGCAGAGCAGGCACAGCGGCGCGACGAGACUCGCGUGGGAACGAGAAGACACUCCUGGAGGAGUCGGCAGAGCAGGCAGACCAAGGAGUUCAUCUUCUCGGAGCUGCUGUCCAACCUGCACUCGCGUAGGGACAAGAAGACACUCCUGCAGGAGUCGGCGGAGCAGGCAGACCAAGGAGUUCAUCUUCUCAGAGCUGCUGUCCAACCUGCACUCGCGUGGGAACGAGAAGACACUCCUGGAGGAGUCGGCGGAGCAGGCACAGCGGCGCGACGAGAUGCUGCGCAUGCACCACGUGCUGAAAGAGGCUCUCAGCAUCAUCGGCAACAUCAACACGAACACCGUCAGCACAGCUACGGGGGCCCGUGGACGACGCCUAGCUGCAGUGGGUCAGGCAAGACCAUCCCAUCCUCAGAGCCCCAGCCCCCACUUCGACCUCU
Molecule: long non-coding RNA, 882 nt
Filed under: Homo sapiens (human)
Lineage: Eukaryota; Metazoa; Chordata; Mammalia; Primates; Hominidae
Description: non-protein coding lnc-LYSMD4-2:6
Source: RNAcentral